CCCGGGGUUCACACCCCGGGCUAAUUAUAUAUCAUCCCUUCAGGACU
Molecule: small RNA, 47 nt
Filed under: Lentisphaera araneosa HTCC2155
Lineage: Bacteria; Pseudomonadati; Lentisphaerota; Lentisphaeria; Lentisphaerales; Lentisphaeraceae
Description: Acido-Lenti-1 RNA
Rfam family: Acido-Lenti-1 RNA
Source: Rfam by way of RNAcentral